UCGAGAAUUUUUCACAAUGGGCGAAAGCCUGAUGGAGCGACGCCGCGUGGGGGAUGAAUGGCUUCGGCCCGUAAACCCCUGUCAUUCGCGAUCAACCCUUAUUAUUUAAAAGAUGAUGAGCUGAUAGUAGCGGAAGAGGAAGGGACGGCUAACUCUGUGCCAGCAGCCGCGGUAAUACAGAGGUCCCGAGCGUUGUUCGGAUUCACUGGGCGUAAAGGGUGCGUAGGUGGUGGGGUAAGUCGGAUGUGAAAUCUCCAAGCUCAACUUGGAAAUGGCAUUGGAAACUGCCCUGCUAGAGGAUCGGAGGGGGGACUGGAAUACUUGGUGUAGCAGUGAAAUGCGUAGAUAUCAAGUGGAACACCAGUGGCGAAGGCGAGUCCCUGGACGAUACCUGACACUG
Molecule: ribosomal RNA, 400 nt
Filed under: uncultured bacterium
Lineage: Bacteria
Description: bacterial SSU rRNA
Rfam family: Bacterial small subunit ribosomal RNA
Source: RNAcentral